AAUUAUUGUUUGUAUACAUUAUGGUUGACUUUGUCAAAAUUAGAGUAAACAAAAGUAUCAUUCAUAUGAUAUAAUAGUGGGACCAUUAUCAUAGGCAUUAUAAUUUUUUAAUAGCCUAUGUACUCUAGUAUAUAAGAUUGGGUUAAGUAAUGAUUAUUGAUGUUAUAAUAUAUGAAAGAAAGUAUGCCAAUUGAGAUAUAUAACCAGCA
This 209-nucleotide long non-coding RNA is filed under the name Elaeis guineensis (African oil palm). RNAcentral's name for it is "long non-coding RNA (EGUI_LNC054648)". The record is from RNAcentral. Lineage: Eukaryota; Viridiplantae; Streptophyta; Magnoliopsida; Arecales; Arecaceae.